Molecule: long non-coding RNA, 1508 nt
Filed under: Anser cygnoides (Swan goose)
Lineage: Eukaryota; Metazoa; Chordata; Aves; Anseriformes; Anatidae
Description: lncRNA (ENSACDG00005004993.1)
Source: RNAcentral
GACCUUUGUAAAACCCUGGCCAAAUCCCAUUUCUAAAAGGUCAUUGUUGUCUGGUUCAUAAACACUGAUCCAUACCAGAUCUUUCCAAUAUCAUAAAGCAGAAAAGGACGGGGGGAAACCUGUCUUAGUCACUCCCCUUAAUUUGUUUUCUCCCUGUGUCAUGUCUAGUCCCCUGCACUAGAUAUUUGUCAUCUUUGGGCUGGGAUCCAUGGAGAUAUGAAAUGCUGGCAACAUCCUCAGUACACCUUGACUGCUGUUUCACCUCUGCUUCCAGUUAUCAGCCUAAAUCCUUUCCCUUUUGGCUUUUGCAACAUGAAAUGCCAAACGUUUCACAAUGAGCCAGUGGAAGUGUUUGUGGGUGUGUCGGUGUGAACAGCACCCUGCUCUUCAGCCACUGUUGUUGAGAAAAAAGAUACAAAUUUCCUUCUUCUGCAAGGCCAGGCACAGCCAACUGCCACAGUCUGUCAGUUGUAACUGUGAUUUUAUACAUUUUUAAGACUGGAACAAUAAACACGGCUCCAGCCUAAGGGCUGGAGACAUCCAAGGCCCUCAGCUGCUGCCACCAUAGAACCCACCUCUUAGGCCCUUAUUUCCUCAGCUGCCAAAUGAGGAUGCUCUUGUGUCUCUGCCUCACUCGUCCCAGGACAGGUGAGCACAUUAAAAGAUUGAAGGUUGCCUACAUCUUCUGAUGGUGGGAUCACAGAACCACCUUAUGGAUGCAGGUCAUGCUGCAGGAUGGAUGAAAUCCAAGUGCUGAGAGGAGCUUCAACCAGACCAACAGCAGUUGGCAGAGAGAUUCCCCAACUGGCAGGAGGAUGCCAGCAGCAAGAGUGGAAAGAUGAGGCUGGGAAUAAGAAGAUUGCUAACGCAGAUUUGCUGAAAGCAGCACCCUGGUAGGUAGACAAAGCAUCCCUCUGUUUUGUAGGUGAGACUGUUGCAAUUCUAUUAGGAAAUUUAAAAAGGAACAAGGAAAAAAUUAGGAAUAACAAACUUGAAAUACACCUAGAGGUAUAGGAACAAGAUAACCAAAGUAGAAGUUUCUAAUAUGAGACAUACUUCCUCCCAGGAAAUGAGCCUGUUCCUAAAAAAUACCAGGCAUGUUGCUCAUGACAAGGGAAGAGAAGAUGAAUUUGGUAAAUAGAAGCAAUUACUGAAGCUGGAAUGACAACAAAGCAUGCUAUCAGGACAAAACCUGUAAACCAAUUCGGGAUCAUGAAACAAAGAAAGAUGCAAAAGGCAAAAAUAGGCAAGACAGUAUAUGAAACUUUGUGACGUCAGUUAUUGAAAAAAUAUUCUGAUAUCAAACAUGUUCCAUUUUCUGGGUUUACUUUUGACCAGGUAUAUUUCUUUGAAUAUCAGACAUUUGAAAACUGGGAUGAAGAUAUGAAUGAACAUAUUCUAUAUGGUAUGCUGAGAACCAGAUUAAGCUUGCAAAUGGUUGGCUACAAUAGCCAGGUAAAGAACAUCAUAUUUCAAUAAAUUCACUUAAACAAAAGUGUCUUUUAGCA